AAGCUACCAGGGACCAAAGCGGGUGAAACAACUGAUGCAACUCUUACCUUUGCACAAUCACAGUCCACUCAAAAGUCAAGAGCUUUAUUCAACGAGAGAGAGUCAUCACAGCUCAAGGAGACACUCCAACCACAAGGAGUUGUGUGGAAUGAGGCUGGUGAGGAGAGAAGGGGUAUAGCCGAGGGAGAAUUCCUAGGGUCAGAUCCAGAGGCUGGGAGGGGUGCAUUCAACCCCAAGCUUGAGGUUCCCCACUGUUGGUAUAUCUCAGAAUCAUUUUGGUGGAAGCGCACGGCAGUGUUUAGCACAGGGGUAUGUGUGUAAAAGGAAGGCCAUUGGGGUCUUGGACUGGAAACCCAGCAAGCAGAUUUUACAGUAUAUCAUUUGGAUGCACAAUGUACAGUGGUACCUCGGGUUACAUACGCUUCAGGUUACAUACACUUCAAGUUACAGACUCCGCUAAGCCAGAAAUAGUACCUCAGGUUAAGAACUUUGCUUCUGGAUGAGGACAGUUUCAGAUUAAGAACGGACCUCGGGAACCAAUUAAGUACUUAACCCGAAGUACCAUUGUACCUGUUUUGUAUUUUAGUAUUGUUAUGUAUAUGAAACUAAUCGUCUUUUGCAAGCUGCAAGGUGGCAUAAGAGCAUAUAAAUAAAUAUGCUCUCACCAGCAGAAACUGGGCCAAUAAAUGGCAUCACUCAGCCAAUAUGCGUCUUUGCCAGAAACGUGAUAUUUAAAGCCGGUAACCAGCCUGUCAGUGUGUCAUCCUCACAAUUUGGUGAUAUGAUAUUUCUUCCAAUUCCCUGGAAGUGAAUAAAGAUCCAAGAACAUAGGAUUGCCCUGUUAAACUCCAGGUGACCUGGGAAAUACCAGGACAAAUCGCCAAGCUGUAUCAUUUGCUCAUCUAUACCACAAGAUGGAGGGAGUCAAAACAGCUGGACAGAGAAGCAGCCAAAAUAGGCUAGGAGUGGCUUGCAGAUCACUACAGGCAAGACUGUUCCUGCCCUCAGGCUUACAAUUUAAAAGAUCUGACACAAAAGGAAGAUAGAUUGGGAGGAAGGAGUGAACUCAAGUGCCAGCUCUUAGUUACAAGGUCUUCUAAUGAUCAGUUGGAAAGGAAACAGCUAAAGGAGAGUCAGAACCAAAAGGUGGUGGCUCUGCAUCUCUCCUCUUUUGUAGCUGGAUGGAAGGGCUGCUCAUAUUGUAAACAUGAUGGCACUCUGAGCUUCUGUUAGGCAUUUCACAACCAUGUUUACUUGUGGUAAAGGAAAGAGCAAGCUGCUACUUUGCUCACCGGGCAAUAUUAUCAGUGCACAUUGUUUACAGCACCACUUGCUUUUCUGUGGAAAGAGACAGCGAUCUCACAAAUCUAGAAUUAAUGACUCAUUCGCAGUAUUAAGCAAGAGGAACAGCUGCGUCACAAAACCAAAGAGCCCUUUCAAUUUUAAGUGGUUAAAGCAAAGGAAUCUGCACCAAAGAUUUGGUUAUUUUUAUGUUUCAGAUAUACUUCAGAGAGAUGUAAAGAUCAGCCCAGAAAACUUUGAGGCUUUGAUUAUUGCUAAGAAGGUCUCUCUUUCUUUCUGAGUUGGCUUAAA
Podarcis raffonei (Aeolian wall lizard) is the source of this 1593-nucleotide long non-coding RNA. RefSeq lists it as uncharacterized. The transcript is spliced from 3 exons. NCBI's taxonomy places the organism in Eukaryota, Metazoa, Chordata, Lepidosauria, Squamata, Lacertidae. The record is from RefSeq and is a predicted model, not a curated record.